GUCUUUAUGCUUAUAAAUAUGAAGUCUAGUCUGCUCACUGAAAUUAAGUUUAAAGAGCCGCGGUAAUUUGACCGUGCAAAGGUAGCAUAGUCAUUAGUCUUUUAAUUGGAGGCUGGUAUGAAUGAUUGAACAAGAAAUAAUCUGUCUUAAUUUAAUUAAUUGAAUUUAACUUUUAAGUAAAAAGGCUUAAAUUAAUUAAAGUGACGAUAAGACCCUAUAAAAUUUAAUAAUUUUGAAUUAUGUAAAUAAAUUGGUUGUUUUGUUUUUUUUUUUAGUUUUAUUUAUUUUAUUGGGGCGAUAAAAAUAUAAAUAAUAACUGUUUUAAAUUUUAUAAUAAUAAUAAUUAAAUUAAUUAAAUGAUCCUUAAUAAAGAUUAUAAGAGUAAGUUACUUUAGGGAUAACAGCGUAAUUUUCUUUGGGAGUUCUUAUCUACAAGAAAGAUUGCGACCUCGAUGUUGAAUUAAAAUUUCUUUAAGGUGUAGCAGCUUUAUAAGAAAGUCUGUUCGACUUUUAAAAUUUU
RNAcentral lists this ribosomal RNA (520 nucleotides) under Stylocheiron abbreviatum. RNAcentral describes it as "partial 16S ribosomal RNA". It matches the Rfam family "Archaeal large subunit ribosomal RNA", at positions 1911 to 2666 of the family's 2987-position model. Lineage: Eukaryota; Metazoa; Arthropoda; Malacostraca; Euphausiacea; Euphausiidae. The record is from RNAcentral.